Cicer arietinum (chickpea) is the source of this 864-nucleotide long non-coding RNA. RefSeq lists it as uncharacterized. NCBI's taxonomy places the organism in Eukaryota, Viridiplantae, Streptophyta, Magnoliopsida, Fabales, Fabaceae. The record is from RefSeq and is a predicted model, not a curated record.
GAGGGUGAAAAAUGAAAUUAAAAUUUAAAGUUUAUAAAAUUUCAAGAAUUGCAAAAGACCCCAACAAUAAGCUUUGUACGAAAGCAAACUCAGUGCUCCAAAAUGGAGAUAGGUUUAACCGAGUUGAUGACUCAGUGCUCCAAGUCGAACACACUCUCAUCCACGUGCUUCUCCAACGCUGCACCAGGUAAUUGCUAACUGGAGCGUAUAUUUUCUCUUCCCCUAUGAACUCUGUAUUCUUACCUUUUUGUGAACGUGAUAUUGUCUUGUCGACCAAUGACUGUUCAAAUAUGUCUAUUUAUGGAGGGAAGGAUUCAGGAUUGUCAAUCUUAUGUCAUGGAAGUUAGCUAGGACUUGAGAAUACUACAAAUCAGUUUGAUAGGAGCAAAAGAUGGUGGUGGAAAAUUCACGAACAAGUAUUAUUUGUAUUUAUUUUCUGAAAUUUGAUCAAUUAAAGUUUCACCUCCAUGCCAAACUAAUCCUAUAAUGUAUCCACUAGAUCAAUACAUAUACUCUUUGAUACGUAACCAAUACUUGUUUGUGAAGUAUCCAAUCAUUUUUCCAACACAAUUCUCUAACUUUAUAGUGCUGGGACACCAAUGGUACAACAUUAUUCGACACCAAUGAUACAACAUUAUUUGACACUGAUACUCUUUGAUGCUUUUCUGAUACUUGUGUAGUAUACAAGUCAUUUUUUUAAGUUGUCUAAUUUUUAUACAGUUGGGAUACUCUUUUAGGUGUCAGCUUAGUGGUUAGAGCUUGACAUUGUAACCUCAAGGGACAAAGUUCAAAUCUUGUAUGGGACGGUUGUAAAAUAACUAUUAGUGCCACCGUUAUUAAUAAUAAUUUCCCCUUUCCCAAUUA